This 694-nucleotide ribosomal RNA is filed under the name uncultured bacterium. RNAcentral describes it as "bacterial SSU rRNA". It matches the Rfam family "Bacterial small subunit ribosomal RNA", at positions 32 to 715 of the family's 1533-position model. The record is from RNAcentral.
AACGCUAGCUACAGGCUUAACGCAUGCAAGUCGAGGGGCAGCAUGAACUUAGCUUGCUAAGUUUGAUGGCGACCGGCGCACGGGUGAGUAACGCGUAUCCAACCUUCCGUACACUCAGGAAUAGCCUUUCGAAAGAAAGAUUAAUACCUGAUGGUAUGAUGAGAUUGCAUGAAAUCAUCAUUAAAGAUUCAUCGGUGUACGAUGGGGAUGCGUUCCAUUAGAUAGUAGGCGGGGUAACGGCCCACCUAGUCGACGAUGGAUAGGGGUUCUGAGAGGAAGGUCCCCCACAUUGGAACUGAGACACGGUCCAAACUCCUACGGGAGGCAGCAGUGAGGAAUAUUGGUCAAUGGGCGCGAGCCUGAACCAGCCAAGUAGCGUGAAGGAUGAAGGUCCUACGGAUUGUAAACUUCUUUUAUAAGGGAAUAAAGUCACCCACGUGUGGGUGUUUGUAUGUACCUUAUGAAUAAGCAUCGGCUAACUCCGUGCCAGCAGCCGCGGUAAUACGGAGGAUGCGAGCGUUAUCCGGAUUUAUUGGGUUUAAAGGGAGCGUAGACGGGUCGUUAAGUCAGCUGUGAAAGUUUGGGGCUCAACCUUAAAAUUGCAGUUGAUACUGGCGUCCUUGAGUACGGUUGAGGCAGGCGGAAUUCGUGGUGUAGCGGUGAAAUGCUUAGAUAUCACGAAGAACUCCGAUUG